UUCCAUUUGAAGAUCAAAUAGAAGUUAUCUACUGAAGCUGACAAACAGGGGCAGAAUAAUCUGUUUGCAUUUUUGGGAAAUGGAUAGCUCUGGUUUUGUUUCAAGAAAUACAGAUGCAAAAGCAAGACCUGGAUAAAUGAGACAAGUAUUGUUCCUUCAAGCAGAACGUCCUGACUUCAAGACAGAAUACACGCCAUCAUCCCUUCGGCAAGCAGGAGGACGGGGUUCCCACGUUAGCAGCAGCAGCAGUUGGGAUUCCUAGAAAGACGCAGUGCCUUCGGGUGCCCAACCCAUCCCCGCGCCCUGCUGGGAUGCACGGCCAUUGCGGUGUGCAGGGAGAGUGAUCCCAAAACACAUCCAGCGCCACACCAACCUGCGAAUGGCGGUGGCACAUCUUCAAACCUCCCCGAAACCCAAGGCGGAAUUUCACCCUUUCCCACUUGUAUAGCUGCAAACAAACGCCGUGCUUGGCCUGAACGCGUCAGCGCGUGGGUUGUAGGGCCACACAGAGCCCCCGUUUCGUUGUGCUGCAGCAGCAGCCUGCUGCACCCCACAGCAUAUCUGCAUUUUCCUAUGGCAGGAAGGUGCAGCAGUGGGGCCACUGUAGCAAAAUGCCUCCACACCCUGCUCCAUCCACAGCCAAAUACGAAACACCAAUCCAAGAGUUUUCUUCAAGCUAUAAAAAUAAAGCAAAGUUGUUCCCAGGGAACAGAGAAAAAGUCAAUUCCACAGUCCCUGCACAGUUAUAAGCGCUCUCCAUAAGACUGAAUGCUUUUUUCUGCCUCGGAACAGCCCUCUCUGAUCCAGCAGAGCAAAGUUUGUUGAUAUUCGGGGUUGCAAACCCAUGUGUUUACUCAGGCUUUUGUCUGUCAGCAGAGUUUGAAGAGGUCGCUUUGAGAGAUCAAUAUUUUUUCCUGGGGGUUUCUUCAGAGCUACCACAAUUUGUUAUUGCGUCUGUUUAGAGGCUUUAAUUUGUGGUUUUCAAGAUUGCAUAACUGAGCAGAG
RNAcentral lists this long non-coding RNA (1005 nucleotides) under Gallus gallus (chicken). Its description in RNAcentral is "lncRNA (ENSGALG00010018435.1)". Lineage: Eukaryota; Metazoa; Chordata; Aves; Galliformes; Phasianidae. The record is from RNAcentral.